CACAUAGGGACCAAGCGUUGUCCGGAUUCAUUGGGCGUAAAGAGCUCGUAGGCGGUUCGAUAAGUCGGGUGUGAAACCUCCAGGCUCAACCUGGAGACGCCACCCGAUACUGUCGUGACUAGAGUCCAGUAGGGGAGCGUGGAAUUCCUAGUGUAGCGGUGAAAUGCGCAGAUAUCAGGAGGAACACCAGUGGCGAAAGCGGCUUCCUGGUCCAGCACCGACGUUCAGGCACGAAAGCGUGGGGAGCAAACAGG
This 254-nucleotide ribosomal RNA is filed under the name uncultured bacterium. Its description in RNAcentral is "partial 16S ribosomal RNA". It matches the Rfam family "Bacterial small subunit ribosomal RNA", at positions 524 to 776 of the family's 1533-position model. The record is from RNAcentral.